UCUUCCACAUUUUAGGUUAAAGACUUAUUCUAAAAUAGAUUCAAUUGUUUUUUUUCUGAAACAAUCUACACACAAUACCCCAUAAUGACCAAGAUUUCUUUUUUUUUCUUUUUUUUUGCAAAUGUAUGAAAUAUAAAAAACUGAAAUAUUACAUUUACAUUAUGUAGCAGGCUGAAGCGGGUAGGGUUUCCACGUCACCAAGUUCAAUAACCAAACACGCACAGGGAGCACAACUAGAAUUCAAAUGGUGAAUUUAUUAGGGAUAUUUGCACACGGUGGGAAAGGGGGGUUCCAGCAACCAGUUCACAACGGGUAAUCAUACAGAUACUUCUCCCACUUCUCACACUCUCCAUAACCCGUGUUUCCCUCUCGGUCCUAUUCCUCUUUGUGCAGCCCGCUUCCUCUUUUAUCCUCAAGCACUCAAUGGCUUAAUGAAUCACCGGCUUGCCUUGUUGGUGCAGGAUGUCCAUAUAAGGCUCAGGGGUGGAGCCAGCAGGCUACAAGAUAUCUUCCUUCAAUCACCACUCCCCUUACCCUCACCUCUCCCUGCCAUCUGCCCCCCCUCAGCUCCGACCGGGAGGGAGGGGCGGUCCGGCUCCCUUAAACAUCCCUCCUAGAGAGUACAUCGGCAUUUCCAUGGGCUGCACCUGAUCUGUGGAUGACAGAGACAGCAAAUGGAUAUAAGGAUAGGAACCAGCGGGUGACCUGGGUGUUACUGUCCUUAUUCCGUGACAUCCAAACCAGUGGUGUCACAAGGGUGAAGUGCCGUCCCAGUCGCAGUUGCAGGUCUCGACCCCGCCCUGUGCAACUGGGUACUGGACUUCCUGACGGGCCGCCCCCAGGUGGUUAGGGUAGGCAACAACAUCUCCUCCCCGCUGAUCCUCAACACUGGGGACCAAGGGUGCGUUCUGAGCCCUCUCCUGUACUCCCUGUUCACCCAUGACUGCGUGGCCACGCACGCCUCCAACUCAAUCAUCAAGUUUGCGGACGACACAACAGUGGUAGGCUUGAUUACCAACAACGACGAGACGGUCUACAGGGAGGAGGUGAGGGCCCUCGGAGUGUGGUGUCAGGAAAAUAACCUCACACUCAACGUCAACAAAACUAAGGAGAUGAUUGUGGACUUCAGGAAACAGCAGAGGGAACACCCCCUAUCCACAUCGAUGGAACAGUAGUGGAGAGGGUAGCAAGUUUUAAGUUCCUCGGCAUACACAUCACAGACAAACUGAAUUGGUCCACUCACACAGACAGCAUCGUGAAGAAGGCGCAGCAGCGCCUCUUCAACCUCAGGAGGCUGAAGAAAUUCGGCUUGUCACCAAAAGCACUCACAAACUUCUACAGAUGCACAAUCGAGAGCAUCCUGGCGGGCUGUAUCACCGCCUGGUACGGCAACUGCUCCGCCCUCAACCGUAAGGCUCUCCAGAGGGUAGUGAGGUCGGCACAACGCAUCACCGGGGGCAAACUACCUGCCCUCCAGGACACCUACACCACCCGAUGUUACAGGAAGGCCAUAAAGAUCAUCAAGGACAUCAACCACCCGAGCCACUGCCUGUUCACCCACGCUAUCAUCCAGAAGGCGAGGUCAGUACAGGUGCAUCAAAGCUGGGACCGAGAGACUGAAAAACAGCUUCUAUCUCAAGGCCAUCAGACUGUUAAACAGCCACCACUAACAUUGAGUGGCUGCUGCCAACACACUGACACUGACACUGACUCAACUCCAGCCACUUUAAUAAUGGGAAUUGAUGGGAAAUGAUGUAAAUAUAUCACUAGUCACUUUAAACAAUGCUACCUUAUAUAAUGUUACUUACCCUACAUUAUUCAUCUCAUAUGCAUACGUAUAUACUGUACGACUGGCAUCCUUAUGUAAUACAUGUAUCACUAGCCACUUUAACUAUGCCACUUUGUUUACAUACUCAUCUCAUAUGUAUACUGUACUCGAUACCAUCUACUGUAUCUUGCCUAUGCUGCUCUGUACCAUCACUCAUUCAUAUAUCCUUAUGUACAUAUUCUUUAUCCCCUUACACUGUGUAUAAGACAGUAGUUUUGGAAUUGUUAGUUAGAUUACUUGUUGGUUAUUACUGCAUUGUUGGAACUAGAAGCACAAGCAUUUCGCUACACUCGCAUUAACAUCUGCUAACCAUGUGUAUGUGACAAAUAAAAUUUGAUUUGAUUUGAUUUGAGUUGCAAAUGAGAACUUGUUCUUAACUAACCUGGUUAAAUAAAGGUGAAAUAAAAAAUAAAAAAUCUUACCUCAUUUGCACACACUGUAUAUAUACUUUUUCUAUUUUAUUAUUGACUGUAGGUUUGUUUAUCCCAUGUGUAACUGUGUUGUUUUUGUUGCACAACACAACAGCUUUAUCUUGGCCAGGUCACAGUUGUAAACGGGAACUUGUUCUCAACUAGCCUACCUGUUUAAAUAAAGGUGAAAUAAAGUAAAUAAAAACAUUUCUGGAUGGGGCUAAUGACAGUUUAGUCUAAAUUACACUACAGCGUCUUGGAAAUACAAUGACAGUGCUAAAGUUGGUAAAUCAUUAGUAGGAAACAACUUUGCCAUCAUUAUGAUGUUGUCAAAUUACCUUUAGAUAUGGCAAUGGUGCCAUUAGCCAGCAAAUUUCAUCAGAAAUAGCUAGCAAUGCUAAUGUUAGCUAGCUCAAAUUUGUGCCGUCCCCUCAAUCUUAGCUAGCUAGCUAAAGUUAUAGUGCAUGUAAUGUCAAUCUGGCGACAUCACAAUAAUGACAAGGUUUACCUACUAAUUAUUGGCCUCUUUCUGGAAUGUCACGUUUCCAAGCAAAUCUAAUGCACUUUUGUUUAAAUCUUCAUCAGCGCCCACUGACCAUGUAUUGAGUAGAACGUGUAACCCAUGAAUAGGUUACCAACCUGGAAAAACACCACCUCCACAGCCCUGCUAAUGAUCUCACAAACACACUGGAGCUAGCAUACACAGCAAUGCAGGGAGAUAAUAUAGUCUGCAUUACAUUAUUAGGACAAAACACCUGGCUACCACCUGAAUGCACACACUAUAGCCUCCAACAAAACCCCUACAUACAAGAGGAUGGCAACUAGUGUUCCACAUCAAGGUUAUAAGGCUGCUAAGAAGCUCACAGAUACAGCCAGUUGAAAAUAUACCCCUGCCUGGAUGCUAUUGACAGAUAUAUGACUGUAUGUAGACUCCACAUAAACCUAGCAGUAGCAUACAGACAUAUAUUUUCAACUGGCUGUUAUGUGUGAGCUUGUUAGCAGCCUUUCAGAGGUGUGGUCACACAAACUCUACUGUAACAUCGGCCAGGUCUAGGAGUGUGGCAGCAAAGCUGUCUUCAAGGCUAGGGUAGCUAAAUUGAAGAAUCUAAGAUAUAAAAGGUAUUUUGAUUUGUUUUUGGUUACUACAGGAUUCCAUGUGUUAUUUCAUAGUGUUGAUGUCUUCACUAUUAUUCUACAAUGUAGAAAAUUGUAAAA
Oncorhynchus tshawytscha (Chinook salmon) is the source of this 3453-nucleotide long non-coding RNA. The record is from Ensembl. NCBI's taxonomy places the organism in Eukaryota, Metazoa, Chordata, Actinopteri, Salmoniformes, Salmonidae.